This 1185-nucleotide long non-coding RNA is filed under the name Malus domestica (apple). Its description in RNAcentral is "long non-coding RNA (MDOM_LNC019635)". Lineage: Eukaryota; Viridiplantae; Streptophyta; Magnoliopsida; Rosales; Rosaceae. The record is from RNAcentral.
GGAAACCCAUAUUAUGUCAAAACAUUGAAUCACCAUUUAGUUGUAGCUAGCAAUCUUCGAAUUAAUUGAAACCAAGACUAUCUCAAAGAUGGUUUCUUCAAAGUCAACCAUUCUCUUUGAUUGUAGUCACCUUAAGCUACCAAUUAGCUUGAAGGUUUCAUUAUUUCGAGUCAAAUGGUACUUUACCAUUUUCUUGAGUAUAUAUCGUAUAUGCACUCAAUGUAGUCAUAAGGAUUUUCAUUCUUAUCGACUACCUUGGAGCUUGUGGUAUAGGAACUAGGUUGUUAUAUUUGUUGAUUACUUCUUUGUCUCUCAAAGAACCCAUUCUUUGAGUUCUAUCUAUCGUUCAUUUGCAUCUUAGGCAAAUCACAUUGUAGGAUUACAAUGAACUACCUAACAAAACAACCUUUGUUAGUUGGUUUAUAGAAGCGAUAUCCAAAAGUUAUUUUAAGGAUAUCCUACAAGAUUGUUAUCAAACAAAUAUUGCUAGUUAGCACACAACCCCAAAUCUUUAACAUGCUUAAGAUUUGUCUUUCUUUUCCAACUACAUCUUAUGGAGUUAUGAAAAUUUUGGAAGAUCUUCUAAUUGACAAUCAUAUUGUUUUAGAAGUAUAUAUCCUAUAUAUGGGUAAUAGAUAACAUCUAACGAACUAAAUCUUAUUUGAGUUCGUUCUUCUCCUAAUGGAGAAAUACAUUAUCUUAUGAUGCUAUUUUCCUUGAUAUCUUUCAAGGAAACUCAUCUAAAAGUGUUACCUUUCCUUGGAUCAAAUCUAAGGAGGUAAAUACUUUAGAUAUCUUACUCAUCUAUUUACAUUUCUUGAAUUCUUUGAAACCUUUUGCAAAGUAUUCGGACUUGUGUUUUAUUCAAAAUAAACUAUAGUCCAACCGAGAGUGAUCUUCGGUGAAUGUCAUAUAACAUGAGUAGUAUUAUGUUGUGGACAAGUGCCACUAACAUCUAAGUGAAUUAACCUCAACAACUUUGUGAUUCUUUCUUCUUUCCAAAAGAAUAAAGAUUCGAACAUUUCGCCUCUAUACAAUUUUAAACAAGAAGGUAUUGGAUCCGGAUCUAACGAUCCAAAGCAUCCUUGUUUCACCAACUCGUAACUUAUGUUUUUAGAGGUAUCACAAUUUAGUUGGGAUUAGUCACUACCUUGCAACCUUUUGGGUUUUAAGCAUCAUUAUAUU